RNAcentral lists this transfer RNA (72 nucleotides) under Ictidomys tridecemlineatus (thirteen-lined ground squirrel). RNAcentral's name for it is "Spermophilus tridecemlineatus (thirteen-lined ground squirrel) tRNA". It matches the Rfam family "tRNA". From Rfam's summary of the family: Transfer RNA (tRNA) molecules are approximately 80 nucleotides in length. Their secondary structure includes four short double-helical elements and three loops (D, anti-codon, and T loops). The record is from Rfam by way of RNAcentral. Lineage: Eukaryota; Metazoa; Chordata; Mammalia; Rodentia; Sciuridae.
UGGGAUGGAGUUCAGGGGUAGAGCACUUGCCUAGCAAAUAGGAGGCCUUGGGUUUAAUCCCCAGUAUCUCUC